UAACAGGCAGAAACCUCCAGCAGGACCAGACUCAUCUGCCUCGACUGAAUUGGGGUUGGAAAGAGGGAAAUGAAGAGAGAGAACACGUGUGCCAUCGCAAAGCCAACAAAGAGGCAAAGCUGACCAGGAUCCUCUAUUGCAGGAAUAGUGGUACUACAAAAAUUACUCCAUAAUAAUCCACGUCCAAUCAUUGGAGGAAGAAAUGAGUGGGCACAGGAAUAAACCAGAGGAACUGGAAUUUACACAGUGUGAUAUUGUGUACAUAAGAGUGAGACAAACAGUGACGUUUGACCUCUUACAAGUGGAUAAUUGUUUCAGAGAAGUGUUUCAUGGUGGUCCAGUGAGAUUGGCUUUUGACCAGGGCUCAGAGUGACCCAGACCUCUGAACCACCAACACUUCAUCCAGUUCAUCAAGUUCAUCCUCCAGUCCAAGUGGAAACUGGUGCCAAAUAUGGAGAAUUUUUUAGAAUUUAACUUUAAUAGACCGACAGAAACCUCACAAAAAAGGCCUCUGGCUUUCAUUUACAUGAAGACGUAUUAAAUCCUGUUAUCCAGACUGGACAUGUAGAGUCCAGCUUUGGCAACUAAAAACACAAGUAUUGUCUGAUGGGAGAUGUGGGUUGCUUUCUGGAGCUUGUCCAAUUGUCUUUCUUGAAUUUGUUUUCUGUGCCCAGUUGUUCAAUAGUGAUCACAAAGAUUAAA
Notolabrus celidotus (New Zealand spotty) is the source of this 702-nucleotide long non-coding RNA. RefSeq lists it as uncharacterized. The transcript has 3 exons. The record is from RefSeq and is a predicted model, not a curated record. NCBI's taxonomy places the organism in Eukaryota, Metazoa, Chordata, Actinopteri, Labriformes, Labridae.